AACGAACGCUGGCGGCAGGCUUAACACAUGCAAGUCGAACGAGAUCUUCGGAUCUAGUGGCAGACGGGUGAGGAACACGUGGGAACAUCCCUUUCAGUUCGGAAUAACGUUGGGAAACUAACGCUAAUACCGGAUACGUCCUUCGGGAGAAAGAUUUAUCGCUGAAAGAUUGGCCCGCGUCUGAUUAGCUAGUUGGUGAGGUAACGGCUCACCAAGGCUACGAUCAGUAGCUGAUCUGAGAGGAUGAUCAGCCACAUUGGGACUGAGACACGGCCCAAACUCCUACGGGAGGCAGCAGUGGGGAAUAUUGGACAAUGGGCGCAAGCCUGAUCCAGCCAUGCCGCGUGAGUGAUGAAGGCCUUCGGGUUGUAAAGCUCUUUUGUCCGGGAAGAUAAUGACUGUACCGGAAGAAUAAGCCCCGGCAAACUGCGUGCCAGCAGCCGCGGUAA
RNAcentral lists this ribosomal RNA (449 nucleotides) under uncultured bacterium. Its description in RNAcentral is "partial 16S ribosomal RNA". It matches the Rfam family "Bacterial small subunit ribosomal RNA", at positions 29 to 523 of the family's 1533-position model. The record is from RNAcentral.